This 107-nucleotide small nuclear RNA is filed under the name Sus scrofa (pig). Lineage: Eukaryota; Metazoa; Chordata; Mammalia; Artiodactyla; Suidae. The record is from RNAcentral.
GUGCUCGCUUAGCUUGCACAUAUACUAAAAUUGGAAUAACACAGAGAAGAUUAGCAUGGCCCAUGCACAAAGAUGACAUGCAAAUUCAUGAAGCAUUCCAUAUUUUU